CCGCUGCCCGCGCUGGCUGGGCCGCCGGGCCCCGUUAACCCGCCCCGGGGCUGCGGGGGACGCUCCCGCCCGCCCCGCCGCCCUCGCCCCGCGGUCCGGGGCGGUAACUGCUGAUGGCUGGGGACAGUCUCCCCGCAGCCCCUCACCGUUUGCUGCCUCUCCCUUUGCCCAUCAGUGCAGUGCUGCCAGUCUGGGGAGAUCAAAAAUCGUCAGGCUGGUGAUGUGUGAACUCCCCCUGCCCAUUGCUGGGGCCUGCGCAUGGGACGAAUCUUCCAAUGAAUCUGGCUUGUUCCUGAAUCGUCAGAAAUGAUGUGGCUGGUUUGAUUUUUAUUUUUAUUGGUGAACCAAAAAAACUUCCCCAACGUAAAGACAGACUUGUCUCUGCUGGCGGCUGGAGAAAGUUUAUGAUGUCAGAGAUACCAAGGAAGUGGAGUCCUAUUCAUGGAGCCUGGGAAUGUUUUAUAUUUGACCUUGUGUCUCCCCUGAUUUACACCAACAUGAAACUGGGGUCACACCCUUGCAUUGUUCUUUCACGGUGCGAAACAACCUGUGUUGGAGAAGGUUUAACUAACAAAGUGACAGCAAUCCCAGAAGCCUGCAGGGUGAGAAAUCUGGGCUGGGAUUCUCAGCGGAGCCCAACUCCCACUGACUGUAAGCUCUCAAGCCUCGUGGAUGGGACUGGCUGGACGGAACUGGUCGUAGCACUAGGGCAAACCCCAUGAGACGUUCUGGGUUUUGUUGAGGACGGUUGGGCUUGGCCCGAGCGCUGUCCUGAGCCCUUCCCAUGGCAAUGCCGCCUGGGCAGCUAUUCCACAGCUCCCAGCAAAGCUGCCAGCAGCAGCGGGUUCUGGCUCUCACCGGGAGAGAGCAGCGUGAGGACUAAUGGAGCCACCAGGGCAGUCGCCUAGGGCGCCAAGUGGUUGGGGGUGGCCAAAAGCGCGCUCCGGGGCGGUGGGGGAGCGGAGGUGAGCUGGGGCAGGGGGUGUCACAGGUGAACGCACUGGGAGCUGGUUCCCUGGUCUCUGCUCAGCCACAGAUAGAGGCUUUGCCUGCAUCCUGCCCCACCCCUGCUGAAGCCCAGAGACACGUGCUCUCUGAUCCUGUGGCCAGCCCCCCAAGAGCUGGCAGGAUUGGCUGCCCUGGCCCAGGGAGGUGGGCUGGAAGUUACUCCCAGAGGCAACAUGUGGGGUGGUCAUGUGUGUCCCCCCCCUUUAUAGUGUGCCCCCUCAGUAUCAGGAGGCAUACGGAGCUUAGGACAGACCCCUGCCCUUCCCCCCCAGCCUCUGCUUGAACCAACACCGAUCAGAGAAAAGACUUGCAGAGAGCAGUGAAGGGUGGUGGGAGACACCUAGACCCCUCCUGACAAGGGUGAUAGAAUUAAGGCGACUCCCGUAGCCACAUCUGCAUCAGAGAUGGGACAAGGAGGCAUCUCCAUUAGCACAGAGAAUGGAGAACAGAGAUUCCAAGGCAGGAACCGCACUGAACUCUGGGACCAGAAAAGCAGGGAAGCAUGGCAUCAUGGGGGAUCUCUGCUCCAGAUGUUAAUGGACAUACGCCAGCCCACAUCCAGCUCAGCAGUUAUCAGACUAAUUCUAGUCAUGAAUCCUUGACUGAUGUCCAAAAUAUUGAAGCAGCCUAAUUGCAUUGCGAGCUCCCUGGAAGGAACACCACCCAUAGCCAAGAGUGAUCAGCUCCUAUUGUCUAGCCUAAAGAAAACCCUUGAGUCAUCAGUUUACCCAUAAACAAAUCUAGUGUUCCCCCUUGAACCAUUGU
Molecule: long non-coding RNA, 1773 nt
Organism: Chelonia mydas (Green sea turtle)
Lineage: Eukaryota; Metazoa; Chordata; Testudines; Cheloniidae
Exons: 3
Source: RefSeq, a predicted model, not a curated record